RNAcentral lists this unclassified non-coding RNA (135 nucleotides) under Parmelia serrana. RNAcentral describes it as "partial internal trancribed spacer 2". Lineage: Eukaryota; Fungi; Ascomycota; Lecanoromycetes; Lecanorales; Parmeliaceae. The record is from RNAcentral.
CACCCCUCAAGCGCAGCUUGGUAUUGGGCUCUCGCCCCCGCGGCGUGCCCGAAAAGCAGUGGCGGUCCGGUGUGACUUUAAGCGUAGUAAAUUUCUCCCGCUUUGAAAGCUUGCCCCGUGGCCUGCCAGAUAACC